Molecule: ribosomal RNA, 301 nt
Filed under: uncultured bacterium
Lineage: Bacteria
Description: partial 16S ribosomal RNA
Rfam family: Bacterial small subunit ribosomal RNA
Source: RNAcentral
CAGCAGCCGCGGUAAUGCGAAGGGUGCAAGCGUUAAUCGGAAUUACUGGGCGUAAAGCGUGCGUAGGCGGUGAGUUAAGUCUGCUGUGAAAUCCCCGGGCUCAACCUGGGAAUGGCAGUGGAUACUGGCUCGCUAGAGUGUGUCAGAGGAUGGUGGAAUUCCCGGUGUAGCGGUGAAAUGCAUAGAGAUCGGGAGGAACAUCAGUGGCGAAGGCGGCCAUCUGGGACAACACUGACGCUGAGGCACGAAAGCGUGGGGAGCAAACAGGAUUAGAUACCCCCGUAGUCCCUGUCUCUUAUAC